This is a non-coding RNA of Lolium perenne, 585 nucleotides long. The record is from RefSeq and is a predicted model, not a curated record. Lineage: Eukaryota; Viridiplantae; Streptophyta; Magnoliopsida; Poales; Poaceae.
AGGUUAGCUAGAGCCGGGUGUUGCAUAGAGGGAGAAUGGGAGUUGAUUUCUCCUUCGUGUAUUCCAUAGAGGAAAUAUAAGAUUCAUUUGACAGGAUGCAAAGCAGUACAGCUGUUGGGUGCUCUUGCUGCAAUGUUGCUGAUACGAACUGGUGAGCAUUACAGCCGUCGGUUUCUCGCGGACCCGUUGGCACUUGAGAAGCCCACUCGCAUCGUCCGAGCAUCUCAUGCAUAUACAACAAGGACUCCCUGAUCACAGCCAACCUGAUGAGGCAAUGCUGCAGAGGACGAGGACAUAAACGUGUUGCUAGCCCUACACUACUUCUUGAAAGUGGAUGCGGCUUAGCGGUCGCUCCAUGUCCAUGGCGUUUUCAAGCCCAAAUGUCGCGCCACGGUGGAGCAUCGCCAGGACGGGCAUGGCGCUGGCUUAGUGAAGCUCAUUGAUACUAAUUUGUGGAGUUAACUUCUCUAUUUGUGAAUUUCUUGUGUCCUGAUACUUCAAUUUAGACUAUUCCCACAAGAUGGAUUUUUAUUUGAGUCUACUAGAUGGAUUGUUUGUGAAGUUCGCUUCUGAUAUUUGCGCUGA